GCCGAGUGUGAUGGCACAUACCUGUAAUCCCAGUGACUCGGGAGGCUGAGGCAGGAGGAUUGUGAGUUUAAAGCCAGCCUCAGCAAUUUAGUGAGGCACUAAACAACUCAGCAAGACUCUGUCUCUA
This 127-nucleotide small RNA is filed under the name Marmota monax (woodchuck). The record is from RNAcentral. Lineage: Eukaryota; Metazoa; Chordata; Mammalia; Rodentia; Sciuridae.